UAGGUCCAUCCUUCAAAUGUCCUGAAGGGG
This 30-nucleotide non-coding RNA is filed under the name Homo sapiens (human). Lineage: Eukaryota; Metazoa; Chordata; Mammalia; Primates; Hominidae. The record is from RNAcentral.